This 481-nucleotide ribosomal RNA is filed under the name uncultured bacterium. RNAcentral describes it as "bacterial SSU rRNA". It matches the Rfam family "Bacterial small subunit ribosomal RNA", at positions 28 to 507 of the family's 1533-position model. The record is from RNAcentral.
GAUGAACGCUGGCGGCGUGCCUAACACAUGCAAGUCGAACGGAACUUACAAGCGGAAGUUUUCGGAUGGAAGCUUAUAAGUUUAGUGGCGGACGGGUGAGUAACGCGUGAGCAAUCUACCUCUCAGUGGGGGAUAACACAUCGAAAGGUGUGCUAAUACCGCAUAAUAUAACGGGAUCGCAUGAUUUUGUUAUCAAAGAUUUAUUGCUGAGAGAUGAGCUCGCGUCUGAUUAGAUAGUUGGUGAGGUAACGGCUCACCAAGUCGACGAUCAGUAGCCGGACUGAGAGGUUGAACGGCCACAUUGGGACUGAGACACGGCCCAGACUCCUACGGGAGGCAGCAGUGGGGAAUAUUGCACAAUGGGGGAAACCCUGAUGCAGCAACGCCGCGUGAAGGAUGAAGGUUUUCGGAUUGUAAACUUCUUUUGUACGGGACGAAACAAAUGACGGUACCGUAAGAAUAAGCCACGGCUAACUACGUG